Molecule: ribosomal RNA, 792 nt
Filed under: uncultured archaeon
Lineage: Archaea
Description: bacterial SSU rRNA
Rfam family: Archaeal small subunit ribosomal RNA
Source: RNAcentral
ACUGCUCAGUAACACGUGGACAACGUGCCCUAAAGUGGAGCAUAAUCUCGGGAAACUGAGGAUAAUUCUCCAUAGACCAUGAGAUCUGGAACGACUUAUGGUUCAAAGUUCCGGCGCUUUAGGAUCGGUCUGCGGCCUAUCAGGUAGUAGUGGGUGUAACGUACCCCCUAGCCAAUUACGGGUAUGGGCCUUGAGAGAGGGAGCCCAGAGUUGGAUUCUGAGACACGAAUCCAGGCCCUACGGGGCGCAGCAGUCGCGAAAACUUCACAAUAGGCGAAAGCCCGAUGAGGGAAUUCCUAGUGCUAGCACAUUUGUGUUAGCUUUUCCUUAGCGUAGAUAACUAGGGGAAUAAGGGCUGGGUAAGACGGGUGCCAGCCGCCGCGGUAAUACCCGCAGCCCGAGUGGUGGUCGAUUUUAUUGAGUCUAAAACGUUCGUAGCCGGUCUGAUAAAUCCUUGGGUAAAUCGGGAAGCUUAACUUUCCGAAUUCCGAGGAGACUGUCAGGCUUGGGAUCGGGAGAGGUAUGAGGUACUUCAGGGGUAGGGGUAAAAUCCUGUAAUCCUUGGAGGACCACCGGUGGCGAAGGCGUCAUACUAGAACGAAUCCGACGGUGAGGGACGAAGCCCUAGGUCGCAAACGGGAUUAGAUACCCCGGUAGUCUAGGGUGUAAACGCUGCAGACUUGGUGUUGGGGGCCCUUCGGGGGCAUUCAGUGCCGGAGAGAAGUUGUUAAGUCUGCUACUUGGGGAGUACGUCCGCAAGGAUGAAACUUAAAGGAAUUGGCGGGGGAGCAC